CCAGACUCCUACGGGAGGCAGCAGUGGGGAAUAUUGGGCAAUGGGCGCAAGCCUGACCCAGCAACGCCGCGUGAAGGAAGAAGGCCCUCGGGUUGUAAACUUCUUUUAUCAGGGACGAAACAAAUGACGGUACCUGAUGAAUAAGCCACGGCUAACUACGUGCCAGCAGCCGCGGUAAUACGUAGGUGGCAAGCGUUAUCCGGAUUUACUGGGUGUAAAGGGCGUGUAGACGGGAGAGCAAGUCAGACGUGAAAUUCCAGGGCUCAACCCUGGAACUGCGUUUGAAACUGUUCUUCUUGAGUGAUGGAGAGGCAGGCGGAAUUCCGUGUGUAGCGGUGAAAUGCGUAGAUAUUAGGAGGAACACCAGUGGCGAAGGCGGCUUACUGGACUGUAACUGACGUUGAGGCUCGAAAGCGUGGGGAGCAAACAGGAUUAGAUACCCUAGUA
RNAcentral lists this ribosomal RNA (447 nucleotides) under uncultured bacterium. RNAcentral describes it as "bacterial SSU rRNA". It matches the Rfam family "Bacterial small subunit ribosomal RNA", at positions 331 to 792 of the family's 1533-position model. The record is from RNAcentral.